This 253-nucleotide ribosomal RNA is filed under the name uncultured bacterium. RNAcentral describes it as "partial 16S ribosomal RNA". It matches the Rfam family "Bacterial small subunit ribosomal RNA", at positions 524 to 776 of the family's 1533-position model. The record is from RNAcentral.
UACGUAGGGGGCUAGCGUUGUCCGGAUUUAUUGGGCGUAAAGAGCGUGUAGGCGGCCAGGUAGGUCUGCUGUGAAAACUCGAGGCUCAACCUCGAGACGUCGGCGGAAACCAUCUGGCUAGAGUCCGGAAGAGGAGAGUGGAAUUCCUGGUGUAGCGGUGAAAUGCGCAGAUAUCAGGAGGAACACCGGUGGCGAAGGCGGCAUCCUGGACCAACACUGACGCUGAGGAGCGAAAGCCAGGGGAGCAAACGGG